This 169-nucleotide ribosomal RNA is filed under the name Brachyistius frenatus (kelp perch). RNAcentral's name for it is "partial small subunit ribosomal RNA". Lineage: Eukaryota; Metazoa; Chordata; Actinopteri; Embiotocidae. The record is from RNAcentral.
UACCGCGGUUAUACGAGCGACCCAAGUUGAGAGACAACGGCGUAAAGAGUGGUUAAGAUACUAAUUAAACUAAAGCCGAACGCCAUCAAGACUGUUAUACGUUUUUGAAGGUAAGAAGUUCUACCACGAAAGUAGCUUUACUAGCCCUGACCCCACGAAAGCUGUGAAA